GAUGAACGCUAGCUACAGGCUUAACACAUGCAAGUCGAGGGGCAGCAUGGUCUUAGCUUGCUAAGGCCGAUGGCGACCGGCGCACGGGUGAGUAACACGUAUCCAACCUGCCGUCUACUCUUGGACAGCCUUCUGAAAGGAAGAUUAAUACAAGAUGGCAUCAUGAGUUCACAUGUUCACAUGAUUAAAGGUAUUCCGGUAGACGAUGGGGAUGCGUUCCAUUAGAUAGUAGGCGGGGUAACGGCCCACCUAGUCUUCGAUGGAUAGGGGUUCUGAGAGGAAGGUCCCCCACAUUGGAACUGAGACACGGUCCAAACUCCUACGGGAGGCAGCAGUGAGGAAUAUUGAGCAAUGGGCGAGAGCCUGAACCAGCCAAGUAGCGUGAAGGAUGACUGCCCUAUGGGUUGUAAACUUCUUUUAUAAAGGAAUAAAGUCGGGUAUGUAUACCCGUUUGCAUGUACUUUAUGAAUAAGGAUCGGCUAACUCCGUG
This 490-nucleotide ribosomal RNA is filed under the name uncultured bacterium. RNAcentral's name for it is "partial 16S ribosomal RNA". It matches the Rfam family "Bacterial small subunit ribosomal RNA", at positions 28 to 507 of the family's 1533-position model. The record is from RNAcentral.